CCCCUAGACGUUCUAGGCUGCACGCGCGCUACAAUAAUACGCACAGCGAGUAUCACCGAGCUCGAAAGGGCAAGGUAAACAAUAGAAAAGGUACUGUAAUGGUUAUAGAUCCUUGUAAUUAUUGAUCUUCAACGAGGAAUUCCUAGUAAGUAUGUGUCAUCAUCACGCACUGAUUACGUCCCUGCCCUUUGUACACACCGCCCGUCGCUCCUACCGAUUGGGUGAGCCGAUGAAACUCUCGGAUGUAGGCUAUUCAUAGCCCGCAGAAGAGAUUUGAAUCGUAGCGCUUAGAGGAAGGAGAAGUCGUAACA
Molecule: ribosomal RNA, 311 nt
Filed under: uncultured eukaryote
Lineage: Eukaryota
Description: partial 18S ribosomal RNA
Rfam family: Eukaryotic small subunit ribosomal RNA
Source: RNAcentral